Molecule: long non-coding RNA, 1318 nt
Filed under: Homo sapiens (human)
Lineage: Eukaryota; Metazoa; Chordata; Mammalia; Primates; Hominidae
Description: HSALNT0188938
Source: RNAcentral
UUUAGUCAGCAGGUGAUAAAUCCUGCCAAGAUUGGAUCCUUCUCUUCAAGGCAGCAGGUUCCCUUUUGGCUCAGGGUGUGUCUAGAAAUGUUGUCUGGGAGCUCAGGCCUAAAUGGAGGCCUCAUGACUCUGCCCAGUGCCCUACCCUUCUGUGACUGAGCUGGUAUCCAAGAUGCAAGACAAAGUCCUCUUUACUCUCCGCUCUCCUCUCCUUAAACAAAGGAAGGACUCACUUUCGUUGCUAUGAGAUGUACUGCCUGGGGCUGGGGGAGGGAUGGUGCUAGCCCUCCCUUAGCUGUGCCAGCUGGUGUCACCUGAGGUCAUGUGCCACCCUAGUUCACUGUCUCUAAGCCCAGCCUAGCACUAGGGGUUGCCUAGGAAUUGCAGUCCUUGUGUCCUAGACUGCCUUUCAAGUAUACCUGGGACUCCAGAGCACUACAGCCCGCGGUGGUGAGGCUUGCUGUGAAACUCAAAUUCCAACUGCUGGGAUGGGCAAUUUUUCCUAGCCCCGGCUAGGGCUGGUCCAAAUGCCCCCUCUAUGCAUGGGCACUGGUUCCACUCUCACAGGUCAGCACUGAGUUCAGUGUAAAGUCACUGUCACUCCCCAAAGCACACAGAUGCUCUCUGUGCGCUGCAAGGCCACUGCCAGGGGACUCUGGAGGGGUGUUAGACUCAAGAUUGUCUCUCCUGCCCUCCUAAUGCCUCUUUUGGCAAUGCGAAGUUAAAACCAGGUACUGUGACUGCUCACCCAAUUUUUAUUUCUUGUGACAGUGCUUUUCUGUGUGCAGUUAGUUGUUAAAUUUGGUGCUCCAGUGGAUGGGAGAUGAACAGUUUAGGCUUCUAUUCUGCCAUCUUGCUCUGUGCCUCUCUCCAUUUAUUUAGAUCUUUGAGACAGGGUCUCACGCUGUCACUCAGGCUGGAGUGCAGUGGUGCCAUCACAGCUCACUGCAGCCUCAACCUCCCCAGCCUCAAGCGUUCCUCCUACCUCAGCCUCCCAAGUAGCUGAGACUACAGGCACGUGUCACCACACCCAGCUAAUGUUUUCGUAUUUUGUAGAGAUAGGGUUUCAGCAUGUUCCUCAGGCUGGUCUCGAACUUCUGGGCUCAAGUGAUCUGCCUGCCUUGGCCUCCUGAAGUGCUGGGAUUAUAGUGUACAGGAGCACACAAAACAUACCUCGGUGAUAUUCUGCAACAAUGACCCAUGCUGGUGUAGAAUUCUCACUUUUUAGUAGAACCUUUAAAAACUCAAGUGAGCUGUACGACACCUUCAUUGCUUUAACUCCAGUGAACCGUGGAGUUAUAAAGAAGCUAGGGUUCUU